GGCAACGCUGUUCGCAGUUCGAUUGUGUUUCUGCUCGGAGUCGGACGUGUUUUUGUUGAGCUCUCCGAUUGUGUUGCUUUUUUGCUGCUUGCGGAGUUUGCUAAAGAUUUUUGAGGAAAGUCUUAGUCCAUACUCACGCUAGACAAUGAAGAUGUUGAGUGGAUCGGCAGGAGGUUCCCACGGAGGAAGGCUGUGGUGCCGGGGGGGGGGGAGAUUUCUCGGCAGGCUCCGAUGGCAUGCAACGAGGUUCUCUGACUCUUACCACUCCCAAAGAGACGUUGGAGUACCAAGGGCUCGACCAUGUCUCCUCCCAAUCGAUUAGUUCGGUGUCGUUUGGAACCGUCAAGCAAGAGGCAGUGGGUGAUGACCUUCCCAAGUGCGUGUGGUGUGGCACUCUCCCGGAGUAGGGAUACCUCCAUGCUCCAGUGUACUAGGUCUUCGAAAAUUGGCUUGCCACAGACCUUAUUGUGGAGGAUGUAGGAAGUGAGAGCUCGGACAGUUGUCACUUCCUGUUUUGUCGAGUUCUGUUUCUCCAUCCACAACAGAGAUGCCACUGCUUUCCGGAAGUCUGAAUGGGGAGGAAAUGGAGUAGUGAGCCACCGAAUUCGAGGGACCGUGGUGUCUGUGGUUCCCUUGGCCUAGGCGGCGAUUUUCCCAAUUCGUCCUCCUGCACCCAGAUGUGACAUUCUUACUGGAUUAGACACUUUUCACCUGGACUCAAUACCUUUUCCUGGAUGUGACUGUGGACUUGUCUCCCAAUAACACUCUGUCAAUGACAAUGGAUUUAUCUCCCAAUUACGACCACCAGAAGGCACUCAAAGGAGAGGCCAAGGGGCCUGGUAGCCUUCAAAGAAAAAGGAAAACAAAUACCAGGAAGUUUCCAAAAAUCUUUUCUUAAUCAAAAUUAAAUUAUUAUUUAUAUUAUGUCUUGUCUUCUAUUUCUAUACUACUUAUGAACCAGCAGUCACAUUAGAUGGGAAUUUUAAGUUUGCAUUGAACAUUUUUUAAUCCGUUUAAAUGGGCUUCCCUGAGAUUAAGUUUUGAGUGCGUCUCUGGUGCCUACAGGACAUAAUCUAUUGCUACCUCUUUUUUUUUUUUUUUUACUCUUUAUCUCAAAUUUAAUGGUUUAAAGCAUAAUUGCAGUUAUUUAAGCAUUGUCUUUGAUAUAAAAAUGAAUUCCAAAUUACGAAAAAUUUUGGCUCUGAAAUUAGCAAGAAAGUUCAUUGUGGGAGAACAAAAGUUGUGGAAAUAAUUAAAAAUCUGCUUGUACCAAAGUUAAUUCAAUGAUUUUGUAUAAGUCUUAUUGUCAUAUUUUGUCAUUUAGUUGAAUUUAAACAUUAGAUAUUCACAUGUAAGGUAUUUUGUAAUUCAGUUUAUGCUUUAAUAGUUGUAAUUAUUUUAGCAUAUGUAAAUGAUACAAAUAAUAAUAUGUUUUUUAAAACUUUA
Centruroides sculpturatus (bark scorpion) is the source of this 1446-nucleotide long non-coding RNA. RefSeq lists it as uncharacterized. The transcript has 2 exons. The record is from RefSeq and is a predicted model, not a curated record. NCBI's taxonomy places the organism in Eukaryota, Metazoa, Arthropoda, Arachnida, Scorpiones, Buthidae.